CCUACGGGUGGCAGCAGUGAGGAAUAUUGGUCAAUGGGCGGAAGCCUGAACCAGCCAAGUAGCGUGCAGGAUGACGGCCCUACGGGUUGUAAACUGCUUUUAUACGGGAAUAACGCGCCUUACGUGUAGGGCCUUGCAUGUACCGUAUGAAUAAGGACCGGCUAAUUCCGUUCCAGCAGCCGCGGUAAUACGGAAGGUCCGGGCGUUAUCCGGAUUUGUUGGGUUUAAAGGGAGCGUAGGCGGAAUGUCAAGUCAGCUGUGAAAGGUCCGGGCUCAACCCGGGCCUUGCAGUGGAAACUGGCGUGCUGGAGUCCGCGGGAGGCAGGCGGAAUUCGUGGUGUAGCGGUGAAAUGCUUAGAUAUGACGAAGAACCCCGAGGGCGAAGGCAGCUUGCUGCAGCGGAACUGACGCUGAUGCGCGAAAGCGCGGGUAUCGAACAGGAUUAGAUACCCGAGUAGUC
Molecule: ribosomal RNA, 460 nt
Filed under: uncultured bacterium
Lineage: Bacteria
Description: partial 16S ribosomal RNA
Rfam family: Bacterial small subunit ribosomal RNA
Source: RNAcentral